UUCAUUGCAUAUCUAGAAUUAUUAUUAUUUUCCAAAGAAGGUGUUGCAAAUAAGGAACCAUUCCUUAGGGGUGGAAUGGACCUUGAUUAUCUGUAACGCUUGAUAUCGCUUAUCAUACCUAAGUAAAGAUACAUUACGUAGACGACUAUAUUUAACUACCGGUCAUGUUCUGUAUGUAGGCAAAAUACUAUCUUUCGUUCUUGCUAUGCUAUUGAAUGUGUCUGUGUUAUUUGCGGUCUGGUCUGUCGUCCGUACCUGUGAUGACGUCAACACCGUGGCCUGUGGUCAGCUUGACCGAGUUAUGAACGUCUGUACUGAUCCGUGUUUCUCAAAUCUGUGUCAACGGUACUGUGGAAAAUGUCCUUUGAAAUGUUACCAUUGUAUGUCGACAAAUAUAACUGACUGUACAGAUAUAAUAGAAUGUCCAAAUAUGGAACACGCAUGCGUAAAUGAAAAAUACCUGACAAACAAUUUUACAUUUGGUUAUAAAGGUGGAUGUGUCCAUAAUCAGG
This is a long non-coding RNA of Magallana angulata, 512 nucleotides long. RefSeq lists it as uncharacterized. The transcript is spliced from 3 exons. NCBI's taxonomy places the organism in Eukaryota, Metazoa, Mollusca, Bivalvia, Ostreida, Ostreidae. The record is from RefSeq and is a predicted model, not a curated record.